AACGAACGCUGGCGGCAGGCUUAACACAUGCAAGUCGAACGCACCUUUCGGGGUGAGUGGCCGACGGGUGAGUAACGCGUGGGAAUCUACCCUUCUCUACGGGAUAGCUCCGGGAAACUGGAAUUAAUACCGUAUACGUCCUGAGGGAGAAAGAUUUAUCGGGGAAGGAUGAGCCCGCGUUGGAUUAGCUAGUUGGUGGGGUAAAGGCCUACCAAGGCGACGAUCCAUAGCUGGUCUAAGAGGAUGAUCAGCCACAUUGGGACUGAGACACGGCCCAAACUCCUACGGGAGGCAGCAGUGGGGAAUAUUGGACAAUGGGCGCAGGCCUGAUCCAGCCAUGCCGCGUGAGUGAUGAAGGCCCUAGGGUUGUAAAGCUCUUUCAGUGGGGACGAUAAUGACGGUACCCACAGAAGAAGCCCCGGCUAACUUCGUG
RNAcentral lists this ribosomal RNA (433 nucleotides) under uncultured bacterium. Its description in RNAcentral is "partial 16S ribosomal RNA". It matches the Rfam family "Bacterial small subunit ribosomal RNA", at positions 29 to 507 of the family's 1533-position model. The record is from RNAcentral.